CGUAGCAAGGCAAUAUAUUGCUUUAAAGGUCCUAAAAUGUUCAACAUACGACGAAUGUGCUAUCUUUUCGGCACUAUACGUCCAAAAAGUAUUUUAGACAAGACGAAUUGUAUUAAUAUAAAAGACAGAAGGUAUUAUCACUGCGAUGAGCCAACAAAGCCUUUCGACAAUUUACCUUUUAGAGUCCGUAGCAGGUAUACACUGACCUUGGUAUGUUCACUAUUAUUUGGUGUAGGGCUAUGGGCACCAUUUCUUAUAGUGUGGUAUUCAAUGGCUAAAAGAACUAUGUAAAAUCUUUUUUGGAAAAUAUACAUUGUAUACAUCAAAAUUAAAAACAUUAAAUGAUA
Molecule: long non-coding RNA, 347 nt
Organism: Vanessa tameamea
Lineage: Eukaryota; Metazoa; Arthropoda; Insecta; Lepidoptera; Nymphalidae
Exons: 2
Source: RefSeq, a predicted model, not a curated record